This 439-nucleotide small RNA is filed under the name Arabidopsis thaliana (thale cress). Its description in RNAcentral is "ATSL066390". The record is from RNAcentral. Lineage: Eukaryota; Viridiplantae; Streptophyta; Magnoliopsida; Brassicales; Brassicaceae.
UUAAGCCAACAUUUUAACUAACCUAAUACUAUCAUUUGAACACUUAUAGGUAUGUUAACUGAUUUCAAAAUUAUCUAUAUACAUCUUUUGUAAUGGCAUGUUUUCCAUCAAUGUGUGUGAACAUUGAAAACAUAAACUGUUGAAUAUCUAAGGUCAUCUCCAUUGGUAAGAAACCUUCAAAGUUUCUCAAAAAAAAAAAUUACUAAUAUUUUAUUAUGACUUAAUUUUGUAAUUAAUAUAUUCUUUUCUUUUUUUCAGUUGUCUAAUUACUUCAAAAUUUCUCUGCACAGAAACGUUUCUGUAAUUAUGUUAUUCUCUCUCCUCCUUUAUGAAUUGUUUAUAUUAUAUUAGUGAAAAGCAACUCUCAAAAUUGUAACCGAUGGAGAUGAUCUAACCUAUUUACCAAAAACAAUUCAGACAAAAUUUAUUUUCGGUUUAG